This 1055-nucleotide unclassified non-coding RNA is filed under the name Hevea brasiliensis (rubber tree). The record is from RNAcentral. Lineage: Eukaryota; Viridiplantae; Streptophyta; Magnoliopsida; Malpighiales; Euphorbiaceae.
CAAAAAAAAAAAAAAAAAAUCAACUAAAUUAAAUCUUAUUCUAGUUUCUAAACAGGGAGAUUACAUUUACAGAGGUACUGAUUAGUGAUUAAUUAGCUAGUGGACUAAGUAGAUUGGGAAAAAAUAAAGUAAAAAUGAAGAGCAACGUGUGGGGAAAUUUUUGCCUAAACUUGAUUUAUUGAGCAUUUAAGAUGCGUGAUAUAUUUAUGUAUUAGUUAGUUAGUUACAUGAUCAACAAAUCCAGGUAAAUUUUUCACGGAAAUUGCCUUUCAGUAAGGGAUUUAAAUUGGUGGCCGCUAUGAGAUUAUUCUAUAUAUAUAUAUAUAUGAGGGAAAAAAUAAUGAGAGAAAAACAUCAUAUAAUGAGUAAAAGUAUGUAAAUGUGAUGUUGUUGUUAAAACUCAAGGCUUUCAAGUUGGAUAAUUGAUUAACAAGUGGAUGUGACAGAGCAAAGCAGGGAAGAGUAUAUAGAAAAGGUAAUACAAUAGGAAAGAAAUUAAGAGAGAUAGAGAGAGAGAAGCCAACCUUGGCUGAGUAGUUGUAUUGCAAUCAUUUAACAUGUAUAUGGAUACCAACUGCAAUUAUCAAGAUAGUGAUUAUGCAAAAAUAUAUUACAGCAUGAACCAGAAUGGAGAUUCCACUUGUGUUCAUGUUCCCAAAUUCUACCACCCUCAUCCUUGCUGGUAGCUGGAAUAAUAGACCCGGUGACAAUAGGAUGAACAAAACCACUGCUACAACAACUGGUCCCCAAUCGGCACUCAUCUUUCUCUCUCUCUCUUUCUGACACGCAAACAGCCUCUUGGAAGGAGAUGUCGAAUUUUUGGAAUCUCUCGCUUCAACAAAACAUGAGCAAAGACAGGGAUGUGCAUUCAAAUAUGUAGGAGGGCCUUCUGAGAGGAAUGAGACUAAUUUUCUUCCUGAUUAAGGAGAUGGUGAUGCGAAACUUAGUGAGAAAGAAGAGGAUAGGUUUAAAGGGGAGUAAAGGUAUGCGUCUGCGGUGGGUUUCCUUUAUGGGUAUGUAAAGAAAGAAAGACAGAAAGAAAGAAAGAAAGAAAG